Molecule: small nuclear RNA, 119 nt
Organism: Ochotona princeps (American pika)
Lineage: Eukaryota; Metazoa; Chordata; Mammalia; Lagomorpha; Ochotonidae
Gene: U4
Rfam family: U4 spliceosomal RNA
About the family: U4 small nuclear RNA (U4 snRNA) is a component of the major U2-dependent spliceosome. The structure of U4 snRNA from yeast and human has been reported.
Source: Ensembl
AGCUUUGCACAGUGGCAAUAUCAUAGCCAAUGAGAUUUAUCUGAGGCGCGAUUAUUGCUAAUUGAAAACUUCCCAAUACCCCGCCAUGACGACUUGAAAUACAGUCAGCACUGGCAAAA